RNAcentral lists this ribosomal RNA (632 nucleotides) under Staphylococcus aureus. RNAcentral's name for it is "bacterial SSU rRNA". It matches the Rfam family "Bacterial small subunit ribosomal RNA", at positions 352 to 975 of the family's 1533-position model. Lineage: Bacteria; Bacillati; Bacillota; Bacilli; Caryophanales; Staphylococcaceae. The record is from RNAcentral.
CAGUAGGGAAUCUUCCGCAAUGGGCGAAAGCCUGACGGAGCAACGCCGCGUGAGUGAUGAAGGUCUUCGGAUCGUAAAACUCUGUUAUUAGGGAAGAACAUAUGUGUAAGUAACUGUGCACAUCUUGACGGUACCUAAUCAGAAAGCCACGGCUAACUACGUGCCAGCAGCCGCGGUAAUACGUAGGUGGCAAGCGUUAUCCGGAAUUAUUGGGCGUAAAGCGCGCGUAGGCGGUUUUUUAAGUCUGAUGUGAAAGCCCACGGCUCAACCGUGGAGGGUCAUUGGAAACUGGAAAACUUGAGUGCGGAAGAGGAAAGUGGAAUUCCAUGUGUAGCGGUGAAAUGCGCAGAGAUAUGGAGGAACACCAGUGGCGAAGGCGACUUUCUGGUCUGUAACUGACGCUGAUGUGCGAAAGCGUGGGGAUCAAACAGGAUUAGAUACCCUGGUAGUCCACGCCGUAAACGAUGAGUGCUAAGUGUUAGGGGGUUUCCGCCCCUUAGUGCUGCAGCUAACGCAUUAAGCACUCCGCCUGGGGAGUACGACCGCAAGGUUGAAACUCAAAUGAAUUGACGGGGGCCCGCACAAGCGGUGGAGCAUGUGGUUUAAUUCGAAGCAACGCGAAGAACCUUACC